UUAUUUGAGCCUUUAUAUCCUUUAUUGAAACUCUUAGCUAGGCUACAAUACAAGCUCUAAAGACCUUGCCGAAAAUUCGAUUUGCCUAAGGUAUGUAUCAAGGCAAAGAAACGCUAACUCUAAUAAAUUUCAUUAAGUUUUGAUAAAAAUAUUUAAUCUUUUAAUGCAUCAAAUUAAAUUUCAUUAUCUCAUCACCACCACUGCCACAUCAACACUCAAAACAAAAAUCCAAAUUUGCAUGAUCGUUGUUUUUUAGUAUUUCUUUUUAAAGAGUUGUGCAUGUAGAAAACACGUGACAAGUAGAAAUCAAAAGAAAGGUGGCAAUCCAAACUAGGGAAGAUUAUGGGGUGGAUCUCAUUUCUCAAAUGAAAGUACUAAGAAACUUAUAAUAGGAGCAAGGUUGAAGUUGCUCAUCAUGGAUCAGUCCAAAAUCCCUCAACUAAGUAGAGGCAAGUUCUUGUGUUCUCACCUUUAAACUUCAAGGGCGACACAAGAUUUCAUAUACAUAUGACUAUCACACUUAAGGGUGUUCAAAAAUAGUCAAAACAAGCAAAAACAAAUAAAAAGAAAAGAGUGCUAGGUUGAAAACCCACAAGCGCAGCCUAAGAAAAGGAGAGCGAUGCUAAAUCGAAAAGCUUCAACAAUGACUUAGUAUCAUAAUAAAAAGAGAGAAUUCCUGACAAAUACCUACACUACAUAUUCUGGGCAAAAAUUAUGGAAGAGAAAUGAACACCCUCAAGUGAAAAUUCACUAUUGCUCAUCCUCAACUAGGCAAAUGGGGCAAAAAAAAUUGAAGUCGUGGAAAGAUUCUCAUCAAGUCUAUGACAAAGAUAGUAGGGCAAUUUAUUGGAUGAUCUUAAUCUUCCAAUUAAUUCUUAACAUGACACUAAGGCAAAAUAGAUGGCAAGGCGCUGAGAGAUAGUCCCCUUUAACUUUCUUUCGAGUCCAUAAAAAAACAAUUUGUUUGAUUUUUAGAAAAUCACGAGAUCAUAAACUAAGACAUCUACGCAUAUAUUCAUUACUCAUACAUGAUAUCACUAACAUCAUUCUCAACAAAACACACGACAUAUUCUCAAGCAUUCAUAUCACUACUGUACACAUUUUAAAAAGUUUCGCUUUCCAGGACCCUGAGCCUGAUGUGCUUUCAAUUAAUCUUUUGAGGACCCCUAGCCUGAUGUGAAUUUUCGAAUUCCGGCAAUACCCCAAUAUGCGUUCUCGUUUAAAAUCUUUGCUUUCUAGGACCACGAGCCUGAUGUACUUUAAAUCAAUCUUUCCAAGACCUCGAGUCUAGUGUGCUUUCAAUCAAUCUUUCUAGGACCCCGAGCCUGAUAAAAACAACUAUGGGGAUGUUAAAAGGUGGAACUAAACAAUUUCAAAUUAUUAUUAGUUCAGUUACUCACACUAUAAUUACAACAAUUAGGAUUGGCAAAUCUCCUAGACGGUUUCAAAAGAGUAGUAAAAAAACAAAAGUCUUGGUACGUUUCCAUUCAGAAUUGGAAGCUUAAGAGUCUAUCAUCAGAAUUCUCAUCCAACAAAGAAGGGGACAACAUACACAAUAGAAAAAGAGAGGAAUACAUACAGAGAAGAAGGGGAGAAAAAUGAAAAACCAAUUCUUUUCAUCAACCUCACUACACUUGUCAUCCUUUCUUUAUCCUAUCAUCCCUAAAAAAAUUUAGCAUAUCAUAUCUACAUCUACUAUCUAUCACACACGCAUAUAAACAAUUUCACCAGAACUCAUUCAUAUCAUACCCAACAACACAUGCAAUUGUUAUAGAGAGACACACUUGUCACAAAGGAGUAUCACAUGACAUACACAUAGAAUAGAAAGUAACACAUUAUACAUAUACACAAGCUAUCACAAACAUCAGAGAAAGAUUCAAAGAAAAAGAAGCAGGACUGAAACAAAAAAAGCAUUCUGAAUUAUAGGUUCAUCAUUUUCCUUACUCAGUCAUACUGAUUUCAUUUUGUGUAUCCCUAUCCUUAUAAGAUUAUAUUAUGUAACACAAACCCAAGAUUUAAUUAAGGGGCUCCUAACAUAUUGAAUCCAAACACACGCAAAAAUGAAGAACAUAAGUUAUGAUAGUUCUAAUGGGAUAAGCCAAUUUGAGAUAAUUGUAGAUCUAGUCAGUAAGCAAGAAUAAUCUCCCUAUGUGACAGGGUUUCAUGUCUCACCGCCAUGUAAAUUGUUGGCUCUGUAUAGACCUAUUCAAACCCUGGCCAGGGUCAUGGCUGUGUCAUAGAGUAAACCACGACUCUGAUUUUCGCAUCUUCGACAUAUAUCAUCUCUUCCCGAGAGAUUCACAUUCGAUUCACAAAAUGGAAAAAAUGUAAAAAUAAAGAAGAUGAUUACCCGUUUACAAUGUCACCUUGCUCUGGUUGUGAAUAACCCUUGGUCGUGGUCUUCUUUCACCACCAAGAAUCGGGGCCGCCUUGCUCACUGGUCAAGAAUCAUUGUGAGUUGUCGCUAGAGAAGAGAAGAAAGGAGAAGACGACCUAGUAGUUGUGUUGUAUGCCAAGGAAGUCGUUGACGUGUUCCACCGACAACCCAUGUCCAUCUUCAUCGGAGAGGAGAUGAGAAGAAUUUAGGGAUUGUCAUUCCCUUUUCGAUUUUCUUUCUUCAUUUAACAUGGUGAAUCGCUUCAC
This 2643-nucleotide long non-coding RNA is filed under the name Lupinus angustifolius (narrow-leaved blue lupine). Its description in RNAcentral is "long non-coding RNA (LANG_LNC002118)". The record is from RNAcentral. Lineage: Eukaryota; Viridiplantae; Streptophyta; Magnoliopsida; Fabales; Fabaceae.